UCCAAGUAUCCAUAAGAUGAUUUUAAAGAGAGAAAAGAAGGAAAUACCAUGAUUUGAAUCCCUUUUAUUAACAAAAUCUAACAACUAAUGUCUAAAAAAAUUAAGCAAAUUAAUAAUUACACUAUUUUUUUGGUAUUCAUAUAAUUCUUAUCUCUUCCCAACAAAUAUUACCAUGCAAAAAAUGUUUUUUGGAUCUGCAUCAAUACCCAAAGAUGUGGAUAAAAGAUGUUAAUACAUUCAGUGAAAAUUUCUUUAUUAUCUUAAAAAUAUUUUCCUUUUGAAUAAUAAAUAUAAUUUUCACAAUUAGUUGAGUGUACUUUGUUUUUCAGAGAUGGUAGAGUGGUCCAGAGAAACUGCACCUGUCAAUGGAUAUGAAUUCAACUUUGAACAAGAUCUAAACAGAACUUCUGAUUUAAUUGACGUGAAAGUGAUCCUUUCUCAAUAGCUGAAUUUUUAAUUGGAAAGCUUUUCAUUGGACAUCAGACUAUAAGAGGACAACUACAAAGGAUAAUCUCAGAUCUUUCAGAAAUUGUAGUAUAUUGCUCUCUACCAAGGUUAUCCAUUGAUGCAAGGAAGAAUGUGCUGCAGCAAACUAUACACUUCAAAUAAUUUGAUGUUUUACUUUUUUGCCAAAUAUUGUGCUGCAGCAAACUAUACACAUACUGUGUUGUUGCCAUCUCUAAUCUAGUCUUGAUACUAGUGUUCAAAAUGAGAAUGAACUGGAAGCAACAGAAUCACCAAUUCACAAAGCCUUUGAUGCUUAAGAUCAGAGUGGAGAUACGAAAAAUAAGGCUGCAGUUAGCAAAAGUGGCACAGAAAGGAAGAAAAAAGAAGAAAUUCUGAAGCAGGCCCAAUCCAAUAGGGGCGCUAAGCGCGCAUCAGGCGCUAAGCGAGCAACUAACUGCAGGCGCUGAGCGUGGCGUUAAGCACGAAGGUGGAAACCGUUACGCGCGCUAAGCCCAGCUAGGCGCCCAGCGCCCGAUCCAACAGAAGCACAGGCCCAGCGUGCAUGGCGCGCCCAGCGCGCGAUCUGAACGCGCUAAGCGCGAGGUGUGGCGCUGAGCGCGACUACGAAGGCCCAUAAGCCCACUUCAGCAACUAUAAAUAGAGAGGCAGUCCCAAGGAAAUUUCAUCCCAUCUCAGAGCAUCACUCUCAGUACUUCAAGCCUGAGUUUUCUUUUCUCUCUAUAUUCUUUGUUUUGUUAGCCUAUUCUUUCUUUCAUCCCCAGUUGUAAGCCCUCAAUAGCCAUGAGUGGCUAAACCCCUAGCUAGGGCUUGGCAGGCCUAAAAAGCCAACGAUGUACACUGAGCUCCAAGAGUUAUCAAUGCAAAGGAAUUUAUUCCAGGUUUUUCUGUUCUA
Long non-coding RNA from Glycine soja, 1360 nucleotides. RefSeq lists it as uncharacterized. The transcript has 3 exons. The record is from RefSeq and is a predicted model, not a curated record. NCBI's taxonomy places the organism in Eukaryota, Viridiplantae, Streptophyta, Magnoliopsida, Fabales, Fabaceae.